AUUGAACGCUGGCGGCAGGCCUAACACAUGCAAGUCGAACGGUAACAGGAAGCAGCUUGCUGCUUUGCUGACGAGUGGCGGACGGGUGAGUAAUGUCUGGGAAACUGCCUGAUGGAGGGGGAUAACUACUGGAAACGGUAGCUAAUACCGCAUAACGUCGCAAGACCAAGGAGGGGGACCUUCGGGCCUCUUGCCAUCGGAUGUGCCCAGAUGGGAUUAGCUUGUUGGUGGGGUAACGGCUCACCAAGGCGACGAUCCCUAGCUGGUCUGAGAGGAUGACCAGCCACACUGGAACUGAGACACGGUCCAGACUCCUACGGGAGGCAGCAGUGGGGAAUAUUGCACAAUGGGCGCAAGCCUGAUGCAGCCAUGCCGCGUGUAUGAAGAAGGCCUUCGGGUUGUAAAGUACUUUCAGCGGGGAGGAAGGGAGUAAAGUUAAUACCUUUACUCAUUGACGUUACCCGCAGAAGAAGCACCGGCUAACUCCGUG
RNAcentral lists this ribosomal RNA (490 nucleotides) under uncultured bacterium. RNAcentral's name for it is "partial 16S ribosomal RNA". It matches the Rfam family "Bacterial small subunit ribosomal RNA", at positions 30 to 507 of the family's 1533-position model. The record is from RNAcentral.